GAUGAACGCUGGCUACAGGCUUAACACAUGCAAGUCGAGGGGAAACGACGGGGAAGCUUGCUUCCCCGGGCGUCGACCGGCGCACGGGUGAGUAACGCGUAUCCAACCUGCCUCUGACUGAGGGAUAACCCGUCGAAAGUCGGCCUAAUACCUCAUGGUAUCGUCUGCGGGCAUCCAACGACGAUUAAAGAUUUCAUCGGUCAGGGAUGGGGAUGCGUCUGAUUAGCUUGUUGGCGGGGUAACGGCCCACCAAGGCUACGAUCAGUAGGGGUUCUGAGAGGAAGGUCCCCCACAUUGAAACUGAGACACGAUCCAAACACCUACGGGAGGCAGCAGUGAGGAAUAUUGGUCAAUGGGCGAGAGCCUGAACCAGCCAAGUAGCGUGCAGGAAGACGGCCCUAUGGGUUGUAAACUGCUUUUAUGCGGGGAUAAAGUGAGGGACGUGUCCCUCAUUGCAGGUACCGCAUGAAUAAGGACCGGCUAAUUCCGUG
Molecule: ribosomal RNA, 491 nt
Filed under: uncultured bacterium
Lineage: Bacteria
Description: partial 16S ribosomal RNA
Rfam family: Bacterial small subunit ribosomal RNA
Source: RNAcentral